UACGGAGGGGGCUAGCGUUGUUCGGAAUUACUGGGCGUAAAGCGCACGUAGGCGGAUUGUUAAGUUAGGGGUGAAAUCCCAGGGCUCAACCCUGGAACUGCCUCUAAUACUGGCAAUCUCGAGUUCGAGAGAGGUGAGUGGAAUUCCGAGUGUAGAGGUGAAAUUCGUAGAUAUUCGGAGGAACACCAGUGGCGAAGGCGGCUCACUGGCUCGAUACUGACGCUGAGGUGCGAAAGCGUGGGGAGCAAACAGG
Molecule: ribosomal RNA, 253 nt
Filed under: uncultured Aminobacter sp.
Lineage: Bacteria; Pseudomonadati; Pseudomonadota; Alphaproteobacteria; Hyphomicrobiales; Phyllobacteriaceae
Description: partial 16S ribosomal RNA
Rfam family: Bacterial small subunit ribosomal RNA
Source: RNAcentral